AAGAAGAGUGGAAGAAAAUACUGCAGGAGCACCUGACACAAAUAGGCUUCUUCCAGCAUGGACGCAUGGGCGAGGCGUUAUGCGCCAUGGACGGCGCAUAAAAGCCGGUUGUGUCAAAAAGCCACAACCGGCAUAUGCAAUUCGUACAGACACUUAGCAGCGUAGUUC
The submitters of this non-coding RNA (168 nucleotides) gave its source as unclassified sequences. The record is from Rfam.